Non-coding RNA from Rattus norvegicus (Norway rat), 467 nucleotides. NCBI's taxonomy places the organism in Eukaryota, Metazoa, Chordata, Mammalia, Rodentia, Muridae. The record is from RefSeq and is a predicted model, not a curated record.
GAUGUGCCAUGGCCUACCUGUUAAACAUCUUUCCUUACAUUGACCAGAUUCAAAGGUGACCAUUCCACGUAUGUCUCCUCUGACAUAGUGGAAACAUUUACAUACUCCAUCUGUCUAAAGCUAGACACUUCUCUUUUCUUUGUUAGUGGGUACAUGAUCUGGACGGGGGUCAAUUCACCAUUUGUUGUGGCUCAAGUUGAGGCUAUUGCUAGAAUCAAGAAAAUCCAAUUUGAGUAGCUGAGUGCUUGACUUGAAAAUUGCCUUCUGCUCUUCCUGAAGAGGAGACUAUGAACCUUACUAUUACUGGGAAUGGUAAUCCUGUGUGAUUCACUCAUCUUGUGACCUAUUGUCCGAUCCUAGCCAGUACCCAUGCCAGUUCAUAACAAUUCAACUGUUUUGUCAACCAUUUUCUCUACCUUCUGUUUGUAUGGUGUUCCCCGUAAGUGUCAAAUGGAGAUAUGCCCCAA